RNAcentral lists this ribosomal RNA (612 nucleotides) under Saccharomyces cerevisiae (brewer's yeast). RNAcentral describes it as "LSU rRNA". It matches the Rfam family "Eukaryotic large subunit ribosomal RNA", at positions 36 to 664 of the family's 3401-position model. Lineage: Eukaryota; Fungi; Ascomycota; Saccharomycetes; Saccharomycetales; Saccharomycetaceae. The record is from RNAcentral.
UUGCAUAUCAAUAAGCGGAGGAAAAGAAACCAACCGGGAUUGCCUUAGUAACGGCGAGUGAAGCGGCAAAAGCUCAAAUUUGAAAUCUGGUACCUUCGGUGCCCGAGUUGUAAUUUGGAGAGGGCAACUUUGGGGCCGUUCCUUGUCUAUGUUCCUUGGAACAGGACGUCAUAGAGGGUGAGAAUCCCGUGUGGCGAGGAGUGCGGUUCUUUGUAAAGUGCCUUCGAAGAGUCGAGUUGUUUGGGAAUGCAGCUCUAAGUGGGUGGUAAAUUCCAUCUAAAGCUAAAUAUUGGCGAGAGACCGAUAGCGAACAAGUACAGUGAUGGAAAGAUGAAAAGAACUUUGAAAAGAGAGUGAAAAAGUACGUGAAAUUGUUGAAAGGGAAGGGCAUUUGAUCAGACAUGGUGUUUUGUGCCCUCUGCUCCUUGUGGGUAGGGGAAUCUCGCAUUUCACUGGGCCAGCAUCAGUUUUGGUGGCAGGAUAAAUCCAUAGGAAUGUAGCUUGCCUCGGUAAGUAUUAUAGCCUGUGGGAAUACUGCCAGCUGGGACUGAGGACUGCGACGUAAGUCAAGGAUGCUGGCAUAAUGGUUAUAUGCCGCCCGUCUUGAACCGG